This is a long non-coding RNA of Mus musculus (house mouse), 579 nucleotides long. RefSeq annotates it as predicted gene, 52901. The transcript is spliced from 2 exons. The record is from RefSeq and is a predicted model, not a curated record. NCBI's taxonomy places the organism in Eukaryota, Metazoa, Chordata, Mammalia, Rodentia, Muridae.
AGAAAGGAGUCUGAGUGACACAGCCAUGCAAGCCGAUAAGGAGGGGUCACAUGGGCCAGGUGGGAGGGCAAUUUGCCCCAGCUCCUAUGCCACCCACUGAAAGUCACCAACCUCAGAAUCCCCUGGUUUGCCCACAGGAUGGCCUAGUAUCCAGACACUAAAAACUCCUUCUUAUGAGGAGGUUCGAUCAGAGAUGCCUGUGGUUGCUAUUCCAUGGAAGAAAGGCAAGUUAGACAUGAAGAUGUUCAGUCUUGUAAAGCCAGUCAACACAGGACAGCACUAUGAGAACAUUCUGACAAUUAUCUGCAGAUGUGCGAUUGGAGACUACCUAGACCUGCCAUGGCCCAGAAGUCUGCUGCUGUCCAGGACUAUAAGUGUGUUCUACUUUGAUUGCCAUGCACUUGGGAUAUGGCUGGUCCAAAGUGAGAUGUUCUUCUAAUGCAAAGUGCACAUGAGAUGUUGACAGUGAGAGAAGGAAAAAGAGCAUGGAUGUCUCGUUGAUGAAUUUAUAUCAAUUAUGCAUGGGAAUGGUAUCCUAGAGUUAUUGUAUUUAAUAAAAAUGUAUUAAAGUGCUUUUAA